Long non-coding RNA from Corvus hawaiiensis (hawaiian crow), 385 nucleotides. RefSeq lists it as uncharacterized. The transcript has 3 exons. The record is from RefSeq and is a predicted model, not a curated record. NCBI's taxonomy places the organism in Eukaryota, Metazoa, Chordata, Aves, Passeriformes, Corvidae.
UGGGCCUUGUUGGGUUGGAGUUGUAGCUGUCAGCUGACUGGAGCUGGGUAUGCAACAGCAUAGUGCCAGCAGUGCUCACUCCACUCCUAAAGUCCUCAGCACCACAUCUGUGCUGGCCACCAUGCCAGUGACCCAGUGGACAGCUCUUCUUCUGAGGGGUGAUAUAACCUCGUAUCGGCUGAGAGAGUGUAACGGCUGAAAGCAGGCGGAGAGCCAGCAACAUGUGGCAGGAGCCACAUUUUUAACACAACUGUUUACACAAAAUGACUGUCAGUUUAAGUUCUGGCCCUUUGAUGAGCAUCCCUCCGAGCACAAAAAUAUUGCUGUGUAAACUCACUGCAGAGGCUUUGUACAGGCGCAUGGGAAGUUUGGCCAGGCUCAACCA